GUAAAAGUAGUAUUAUCGAAGUAUCAAUAGUAUCAAUAAUAUAACGAUGAUUAACCUAACAAUACAAGUAAUGUAUAAGUAAUUUGAGUUUGUAUCAAGCAACCAUAAGUCGAGUUUGACAUGCCAAAUAUAUUUCAAUACUUAUCCCAAAUCAUACGCGGUAUGAAUAGUCUAUUCAUAAAAGAUUUUUCUUUUUUAGGUCAAAAAUAACAUUAAAA
This 218-nucleotide long non-coding RNA is filed under the name Prunus persica (peach). RNAcentral describes it as "long non-coding RNA (PPER_LNC005205)". The record is from RNAcentral. Lineage: Eukaryota; Viridiplantae; Streptophyta; Magnoliopsida; Rosales; Rosaceae.